UGAACGCUAGCUACAGGCUUAACACAUGCAAGUCGAGGGGCAGCAUGAACAUAGCUUGCUAUGUUUGAUGGCGACCGGCGCACGGGUGCGUAACACGUAUCCAAUCUGCCCGUUACUCGGGGAUAGCCUUCUGAAAGGAAGAUUAAUACCCGAUGGCAUGUAUUUCCGGCAUCGGAGAUACAUUAAAGAUUUAUCGGUAACGGAUGAGGAUGCGUACGAUUAGCUGGUUGGCGGGGUAACGGCCCACCAAGGCGACGAUCGUUAGGGGUUCUGAGAGGGUGAUCGGCCACAUUGGGACUGAGACACGGCCCAAACUCCUACGGGAGGCAGCAGUGAGGAAUAUUGGUCAAUGGUCGAGAGACUGAACCAGCCAAGUAGCGUGAAGGAUGACUGCCCUACGGGUUGUAAACUUCUUUUGUUUGGGAAUAAAUGAUACUACGUGUAGUAUUUUGCAUGUACCUUACGAAUAAGCAUCGGCUAAUUCCGUG
This 488-nucleotide ribosomal RNA is filed under the name uncultured bacterium. Its description in RNAcentral is "bacterial SSU rRNA". It matches the Rfam family "Bacterial small subunit ribosomal RNA", at positions 30 to 507 of the family's 1533-position model. The record is from RNAcentral.